GCAGUCGAGCGGAGAGAGGUAGCUUGCUACUGAUCUUAGCGGCGGACGGGUGAGUAAUGCUUAGGAAUCUGCCUAUUAGUGGGGGACAACAUUUCGAAAGGAAUGCUAAUACCGCAUACGUCCUACGGGAGAAAGCAGGGGAUCUUCGGACCUUGCGCUAAUAGAUGAGCCUAAGUCGGAUUAGCUAGUUGGUGGGGUAAAGGCCUACCAAGGCGACGAUCUGUAGCGGGUCUGAGAGGAUGAUCCGCCACACUGGGACUGAGACACGGCCCAGACUCCUACGGGAGGCAGCAGUGGGGAAUAUUGGACAAUGGGCGGAAGCCUGAUCCAGCCAUGCCGCGUGUGUGAAGAAGGCCUUAUGGUUGUAAAGCACUUUAAGCGAGGAGGAGGCUACUUUAGUUAAUACCUAGAGAUAGUGGACGUUACUCGCAGAAUAAGCACCGGCUAACUCUGUGCCAGCAGCCGCGGUAAUACAGAGGGUGCAAGCGUUAAUCGGAUUUACUGGGCGUAAAGCGCGCGUAGGCGGCUAAUUAAGUCAAAUGUGAAAUCCCCGAGCUUAACUUGGGAAUUGCAUUCGAUACUGGUUAGCUAGAGUGUGGGAGAGGAUGGUAGAAUUCCAGGUGUAGCGGUGAAAUGCGUAGAGAUCUGGAGGAAUACCGAUGGCGAAGGCAGCCAUCUGGCCUAACACUGACGCUGAGGUGCGAAAGCAUGGGGAGCAAACAGGAUUAGAUACCCUGGUAGUCCAUGCCGUAAACGAUGUCUACUAGCCGUUGGGGCCUUUGAGGCUUUAGUGGCGCAGCUAACGCGAUAAGUAGACCGCCUGGGGAGUACGGUCGCAAGACUAAAACUCAAAUGAAUUGACGGGGGCCCGCACAAGCGGUGGAGCAUGUGGUUUAAUUCGAUGCAACGCGAAGAACCUUACCUGGCCUUGACAUAGUAAGAACUUUCCAGAGAUGGAUUGGUGCCUUCGGGAACUUACAUACAGGUGCUGCAUGGCUGUCGUCAGCUCGUGUCGUGAGAUGUUGGGUUAAGUCCCGCAACGAGCGCAACCCUUUUCCUUAUUUGCCAGCGAGUAAUGUCGGGAACUUUA
RNAcentral lists this ribosomal RNA (1090 nucleotides) under Acinetobacter sp. Its description in RNAcentral is "bacterial SSU rRNA". It matches the Rfam family "Bacterial small subunit ribosomal RNA", at positions 57 to 1142 of the family's 1533-position model. The record is from RNAcentral. Lineage: Bacteria; Pseudomonadati; Pseudomonadota; Gammaproteobacteria; Moraxellales; Moraxellaceae.